UAUUUAAAUAGUUUAAUUAAAAUUUAGGUUUGUGGAACCUGAGAUGUAUUUUAUACUUUAAAUAA
Molecule: transfer RNA, 65 nt
Filed under: unidentified
Description: Borboresthes tibialis tRNA-His
Source: RNAcentral